RNAcentral lists this ribosomal RNA (253 nucleotides) under uncultured bacterium. RNAcentral's name for it is "partial 16S ribosomal RNA". It matches the Rfam family "Bacterial small subunit ribosomal RNA", at positions 524 to 776 of the family's 1533-position model. The record is from RNAcentral.
UACGGAGGGUGCAAGCGUUAUCCGGAUUCACUGGGUCUAAAGGGAGCGUAGGUGGGUUGGUAAGUCAGUGGUGAAGUCCCCGAGCUUAACUUGGGAACUGCCAUUGAUACUAUCAGUCUUGAAUAUUGUGGAGGUCAGCGGAAUAUGUCAUGUAGCGGUGAAAUGCUUAGAGAUGACAUAGAACACCAAUUGCGAAGGCAGCUGGCUACGCAUAUAUUGACACUGAGGCUCGAAAGCGUGGGGAUCAAACAGG